Molecule: ribosomal RNA, 256 nt
Filed under: uncultured Rhizophagus
Lineage: Eukaryota; Fungi; Glomeromycota; Glomeromycetes; Glomerales; Glomeraceae
Description: partial large subunit ribosomal RNA
Rfam family: Eukaryotic large subunit ribosomal RNA
Source: RNAcentral
GAAAGAUGAAAAGAACUUUGAAAAGAGAGUUAAACAGUACGUGAAAUUGUUGAAAGGGAAACGAUUGAAGCCAGUCGUACCUUCGGGUAAUCAGCCUUUUGGGUGUGAUUUUGUGGAGUGUGAAGAGUUAAACGCCUUCAUGCCUGCAUAUUCGUGCACUUUGGGUGUACUUGCCCGUGUGGUUGGUUAACAUCAAUUUUGGUUAUCAUAAAAUGACUGGAGGAAUGUAGCUUCGAUCUCGUAUUGAAGUGUUAUA